UUGUUGGGCUCGACCUGUAAAUAUUAUCUGGCGAGACCGCGUCGGUCGUGUCACGUUUUGCUCCAGUCCCUGAAACGAAAGAGUUGCGGGGGUAAAAGAAAAAAAAUCUAGAUCCUUCUCUCGUUCAAGCCCACAGAAUCCACCAAGCCACGGCGUCACCGCCAGCGCUACUGCCAUCUCGGGGAAGGAACCGAACCGACCCCUGAAAAGAAUUCGGUGCGUCGGAAGGAAGAGCAACCCUGCGGUGGUGGAGCGAGGACCCGGGUUGAGGGAUGUGGUGGGAGUGGGAGGGCGACGGUGGUGAGGCGCCGCGGGAGGAGACUCCUGUGGACUUCGAUUUCAUCGCCCUCCUCGCCAAGCCCAAGGAUUACUACAAGAUACUGGAAGUAGAUUACUAUGCGUCUGAGGAGACGAUCAGGUCCAGCUAUAUCCGCCUUGCACUGAAAUGGCACCCUGACAAGAAGCAGGGGCAGGGCGAAGAGAAUUCAACCUCCAAAUUUCAGGAAAUUAACGAGGCAUACCAAGUUCUGAGUAAUCCAGCAAAAAGGCAAGAGUAUGACAAAAAAGGCAUUCUAUACGUUCAAGAUCAGAAUGUAGUGGAUUACCUGAACCGGCACAAGGGGCUAAUACUUACGUGCAAUGGUCUUGGUAUAAGGUACUCAGUAUGGUGAACACGCUCAAGGGCCCACAGUUUGCACUCAUCUGCAGUCUUGGAGAAUCUGUAAUGUGGGGCCAGUGGGGAUGAAAAUAAUUUCUGAUGACAUACAGGGAAGCCUUUGAUCUGAAAAUGGUAUAGUGCAGCAGUGCCAUGUUUGAAAGCCAAAUAUUGACCACUUGAGUUCAUCCUACAAGGCUACAACAGAGUUGAUUUUUAUUUGUCGAUCAGCUGUUGUUGAAUGAAAGAGGCAGAUAUGUUCCUGCUGCUCCUUGUAUGUAACAUACUGUUCCUAACCAUGCAAUGUAAGCGUUUGUUUCUGUCUUGGCGCUUUGUAUUGACGUUAUGUGGACCUGAAUGUCUGUGGAAAAACAGAGUGGUAUCAUGCUCCUUCCCCGGAAACUAGUACAUCUAUAUCCUCAUUAA
RNA transcript from Zea mays, 1081 nucleotides. RefSeq lists it as uncharacterized. The record is from RefSeq and is marked validated. The transcript is spliced from 6 exons. NCBI's taxonomy places the organism in Eukaryota, Viridiplantae, Streptophyta, Magnoliopsida, Poales, Poaceae.